This 466-nucleotide ribosomal RNA is filed under the name uncultured bacterium. Its description in RNAcentral is "partial 16S ribosomal RNA". It matches the Rfam family "Bacterial small subunit ribosomal RNA", at positions 28 to 507 of the family's 1533-position model. The record is from RNAcentral.
GAUGAACGCUGGCGGCGUGCUUAACACAUGCAAGUCGAACGAUGAAGCCCAGCUUGCUGGGUGGAUUAGUGGCGAACGGGUGAGUAACACGUGAGUAACCUGCCCUUAACUCUGGGAUAAGCCUGGGAAACUGGGUCUAAUACCGGAUAGGAGCGUCCACCGCAUGGUGGGUGUUGGAAAGAUUUAUCGGUUUUGGAUGGACUCGCGGCCUAUCAGCUUGUUGGUGAGGUAAUGGCUCACCAAGGCGACGACGGGUAGCCGGCCUGAGAGGGUGACCGGCCACACUGGGACUGAGACACGGCCCAGACUCCUACGGGAGGCAGCAGUGGGGAAUAUUGCACAAUGGGCGCAAGCCUGAUGCAGCGACGCCGCGUGAGGGAUGACGGCCUUCGGGUUGUAAACCUCUUUCAGUAGGGAAGAAGCGAAAGUGACGGUACCUGCAGAUGAAGCACCGGCUAACUACGUG